RNAcentral lists this microRNA precursor (92 nucleotides) under Nannospalax galili (Upper Galilee mountains blind mole rat). RNAcentral describes it as "miRNA (ENSNGAG00000002634.1)". The record is from RNAcentral. Lineage: Eukaryota; Metazoa; Chordata; Mammalia; Rodentia; Spalacidae.
UAUUUAAAACUGUGGGCACAUAUGUGUGCAUGUGCAUGUGUGUACAUACACCUGCACAUGCAUGAAGGCACAUAUACCAGAACACAUUUAGA